RNAcentral lists this small RNA (167 nucleotides) under Nocardia terpenica. RNAcentral describes it as "Magnesium sequence". It matches the Rfam family "M-box riboswitch aptamer (ykoK leader)". From Rfam's summary of the family: M-box riboswitch, also know as ykoK leader is described as a metaloregulatory RNA that sense divalent metals and function as a genetic control element of genes related to divalent metal transport in bacteria. The record is from Rfam by way of RNAcentral. Lineage: Bacteria; Bacillati; Actinomycetota; Actinomycetes; Mycobacteriales; Nocardiaceae.
GGUGCCGAACGUUCGCUGAGGCUCCUCCACGGAAACAGGCCAGCGACCCCGAACGUCGAGAGACGCCCCGGGUCAGGACAGGUCUCCCCGGCUUAAGGGGUGAUCCCGACUGGCUCCCGCUCGGGUUCACGCCGUGGAGUGCCAAAGGUCUUACGAGGAGUGGCGCU